AGAACGAACGCUGGCGGCAUGCCUAAUACAUGCAAGUCGAACGAGAUCUUCGGGUCUAGUGGCGCACGGGUGCGUAACGCGUGGGAAUCUACCCUUGGGUUCGGAAUAACAGUUGGAAACGACUGCUAAUACCGGAUGAUGACGAAAGUCCAAAGAUUUAUCGCCCAAGGAUGAGCCCGCGUAGGAUUAGCUAGUUGGUGAGGUAAAGGCUCACCAAGGCUACGAUCCUUAGCUGGUCUGAGAGGAUGAUCAGCCACACUGGGACUGAGACACGGCCCAGACUCCUACGGGAGGCAGCAGUAGGGAAUAUUGGACAAUGGGGGCAACCCUGAUCCAGCAAUGCCGCGUGAGUGAUGAAGGCCUUAGGUUGUAAAGCUCUUUUACCCGAGAUGAUAAUGACAGUAUCGGAGAAUAAGCUACCGGCUAACUCCGCGCCAGCAGCCGC
RNAcentral lists this ribosomal RNA (445 nucleotides) under uncultured soil bacterium. Its description in RNAcentral is "bacterial SSU rRNA". It matches the Rfam family "Bacterial small subunit ribosomal RNA", at positions 26 to 518 of the family's 1533-position model. The record is from RNAcentral.